GCCUCUUUAGCUCAGUUGGUAGAGCAGCAGUUUCGUAAACUGCAGGUCGCAGGUUCAAGUCCCGUAAGAGGCU
This 73-nucleotide transfer RNA is filed under the name Ignavibacteria bacterium. RNAcentral describes it as "tRNA-Thr". It matches the Rfam family "tRNA". Rfam says of the family: Transfer RNA (tRNA) molecules are approximately 80 nucleotides in length. Their secondary structure includes four short double-helical elements and three loops (D, anti-codon, and T loops). The record is from RNAcentral. Lineage: Bacteria; Pseudomonadati; Ignavibacteriota; Ignavibacteria.